AUGGAUUGCAACCUUAAAUUUCUUUUCUAGAAUGUGCGUGGUCUAAAUUCUGGUGCUAAGCGUACGGCCAUCCGCAGUGUGAUCUCCACUGCCGCCCCCGCCAUCAUGUCUCUGCAAGAGACCAAGCUGGCUCACAUCUCAGGCUCCACCGUCCUUGACACCCUUGGCCCCCUUUUCAAGGAUUUCUACUUCCUUCCGGCCAUCGGCACCCGCGGAGGCAUGCUCCUCGCAUGGCAUAGAUCCCAUGUAUCCCUCUCCACCCCCCUGAUUGGCGAGCAUCAUAUCACUACCCUAGUCACGCCCGCCGCUGGUGACGGUCAUUGGUGGCUCACCUGCGUGUACGGCCCCCAAGAUGAUGAGGCCAAACUCGACUUCCUCGCUGACCUCCACGAUGUGUGCGAUUCAUGCAUCGAGCCUUGGCUCCUUGGCAGAGAUUUCAACAUGAUCACCUCGGCGGCCGACAAGAAUAACUUGAAUCUAAAUUACCAUGUCACGAAUAGAUUUCGGCGCUUCAUCGCCGACAAGGAGCUCCGCUAUAUGUACUUGCACGGACGCCGCUACACUUGGUCUAGUGAGCGUGACACGCCGACUCUUGUGCGGAACAACCGAAUUCUUUGCACGUCCAGAUGGGAGAUCACCCACCGAUAUGUCUCUGUCAUAUCUACUUUUCCAAACACUUUUGCCCUUGUUUUGGACUCUAACUUGCAUGAUUUGAAUGGAACUAACCCGGACUGA
RNAcentral lists this ribosomal RNA (735 nucleotides) under Triticum aestivum (bread wheat). Its description in RNAcentral is "partial small subunit ribosomal RNA". Lineage: Eukaryota; Viridiplantae; Streptophyta; Magnoliopsida; Poales; Poaceae. The record is from RNAcentral.